RNAcentral lists this long non-coding RNA (1208 nucleotides) under Pogona vitticeps (central bearded dragon). Its description in RNAcentral is "lncRNA (ENSPVIG00000025663.1)". Lineage: Eukaryota; Metazoa; Chordata; Lepidosauria; Squamata; Agamidae. The record is from RNAcentral.
UCUCUUCAGCUCAGAGGCGACACGGACUUCCCGUUCACUUCCGGUCCGGAGAAAUGACGUCAUGACGCGCAUCCGCGGUGAGGAGUUAGAGGAGGGUCUCCCCCCUCCCUGCCGCCUCCUCCCGCUCUCUUUGAGCCGCUGCUAACGGUCUUGGCGCGAGCGUCCGAAUUCCCUCUCGUCGCUUGUUGCGCGCGGCCAGCAUUCCAGAGUCUAAAUAACUGGCAGAGAAAUGGGAUGAAUAAAUAAAUAAUGGGAGUUUCUUAUACGGCGGAAGUAACUGUAUGAGCUGUCAACGGAUGUGGCUAUCGAAAGCGCCAGUUCUGUUGCUUCCGCGAGGGGAUGAUUGUCGGCUAAGCAGCGCAAGUUGACCACGGCGCCCAAAAGGAGAUCGCUGUCUCUGUCCACACGGUUUAGCUAGUGUUGCUUUCACACAAAUAAAGCUAAUAAGUGUGCCAAGUCCCACAGCCUGACUUGCAUGUGGCCUUUCUUCAUUCACAUCAGAGCGUUGCACAAUUUAAAAUUAGGGGCAUAUAUGAAAAAUAGGUAAAAUGAAAAACAAGUUCAAAAGGAGACACAAAGUUGGGAACCACUGCUUUCAUGGAAUCUAGAUGUUUAGCCUACCUUUGAUGACUUUGGCUGGUUUAUUCCUCUUUUGAUGCCUUGAUUUUUUACCCCUGUUCACAAUGGUAAAUGGUUUUUGUUGUUUCAAGCCAUUAAGGUAUCUUAUUUACAGCAACACUGAAUUAGUGACCUCCAGAAUGGCCUUUUAGUAACAGCUCAGCUCUUGCAAGCUCAAGGCUGUGGCUGUCUUCAGCUGGUUCAAAAUGCUAACAGCCAAGCUGCUCAGGGAGCAUAUACUACAGAAGCUUCACUGAAGCAGCUGAUCUACUGUGUUUCCCCGAAAAUAAGACAGGGUCUUAUAUUUCUGUUACAAAAUGCAUUAGGGCUUAUUUUCAGCAGAAAUACACUCUCUUCAUCUGUUGUGCACGGAUGCAAAUAUAAGGAAAUAAAUACAGUAUACAUAUAGCUCAUUGAAUUUGCUUAUUAAGCUGCAGAUGCCAGGUACGUCUGACAGAGAUCUUGUCUAUUACUAUUAUCAUUACAAAUUCCCACUGCUAUCAUAUAAAGAUCUGAUGGCAGAAUUUCUAGAAAAGAGUGUAAAAUAAUUAUACUCAGGUAAGUAAAAUAAAAAUGAAACAAAGUCUACA